ACUCAAAGGAAUUGACGGGGGUCCGCACAAGCGGUGGAACAUGUGGUUUAAUUCGACACUACGCGAGGAACCUUACCUAGGUUUGACAUGCACAUGACAGUCGUAGAAAUACGAUCUUUCGGGCUUCGGUCCGAACGCGUGCACAGGUGCUGCAUGGCUGUCGUCAGCUCGUGUCGUGAGAUGUUGGGUUAAGUCCUCUAACGAGCGCAACCCUUGCUGUCAGUUGCAACGUAUCUUCGGAUAUGGCACUCUGAUGGGACUGCCUGGGAAACCAGGAGGAAGGUGGGGACGACGUCAAGUCAUCAUGGCCUUUAUGUCUAGGGCGACACACGUGUUACAAUGGCUGCUACAAAGGGUUGCCAACCCGUAAGGGGGAGCUAAUCCCGAAAAGCAGUCUAAGUUCGGAUUGAGGUCUGCAACCCGACCUCAUGAAGCUGAAAUCGCUAGUAAUCGCGUAUCAGAACGGCGCGGUGAAUACGUUCUCGGGCCUUGUACACACCGCCCGU
This 506-nucleotide ribosomal RNA is filed under the name uncultured bacterium. RNAcentral's name for it is "partial 16S ribosomal RNA". It matches the Rfam family "Bacterial small subunit ribosomal RNA", at positions 899 to 1397 of the family's 1533-position model. The record is from RNAcentral.